This 1474-nucleotide ribosomal RNA is filed under the name human oral metagenome. Its description in RNAcentral is "bacterial LSU rRNA". It matches the Rfam family "Bacterial large subunit ribosomal RNA", at positions 920 to 2303 of the family's 2925-position model. The record is from RNAcentral.
UGGGGCGGGCAACUGUACCCACCGUUAACAAACUACGAAUACCGUUGGUGGUACCAUGGCAGUUAGAACAUCGGGGCUAAGCUCGGUGCUCAAAAGGGAAACAGCCCAGACCAUCAUCUAAGGUCCCUAAAUUAACACUAAGUGGGAAACAAGGUGAAAUUUCUUAAACAGCGAGGAUGUUGGCUUAGAAGCAGCCAUUCAUUUAAAGAGUGCGUAACAGCUCACUCGUCAAGAGAUUUUGCGUGGAAAAUGUAACGGGGCUAAAGUGUUAUACCGAAGAUAUGGAUUUCGUUAUUCCUACGGGUUUAACGGAGUGGUAGAGGAGCGUUCCUAUCGGCAGUGAAGCUCAAUCGUAAGGUUGGGUGGAGCGUUAGGAAGUGAGAAUGCUGGAAUGAGUAACCAUAAGAAAGGUGAGAAUCCUUUCGGCCGUAAGAGCGAGGUUUCCAGGGCUACUGUAAUAAUCCCUGGGUUAGUCGGGCCUAAGCCGAGGCGUAGCAGCGUAGGCGAUGGACAUCAGGUUAAUAUUCCUGAACCGGUUAUAAUUUGUAUACUGUGUACGGUAAAUUAGUCGAAGCGGAUUAUUGGUAUAUAUCCGUCCAACUUAGCGGGAACGCAAAAGGAGUGAAAGUUAAUCUACGGAUUAACGAUUUUGAUGAAAGUACUGGCUAGAAAAGCAGAUAUACGCGUGGUUAUAGCCGCCCGUACCGCAAACCAACACAGGUGCUCGAGUCGAGUAGACUCAGGCUUACGAGAGACCCUUCGCUAAGGAACUCGGCAAAACAGCGACCGUAACUUCGGGAUAAGGUCUGCCUCCGCAUCAUUCGAUGCGAGUCGUGUUUCAAGCAAUUAGGUUAAGAUUAAUGGUAUAUAUGAGUAUCUUAAACUUCUUUACCGAGAUAGAACAAGUCAAAUGGCUUAGCUUGGAACGUGGCAAACUCGUAUCAAACGAUGCGGAGGCCGCAGCAAAAGAGCCCACGGAACUGUUUACCAAAAACACAGGUCUCUGCGAACACGAAAGUGGAUGUAUAGGGGCUGACUCCUGCCCAGUGCUGGAAGGUUAAGGGGAGUGCUUUACGGUGCGAACUGAAGCCCCAGUGAACGGCGGCGGUAACUAUAACCGUCCUAAGGUAGCGAAAUUCCUUGUCAGGUAAGUUCUGACCCGCACGAAUGGAGUAAUCAUGUGGGCACUGUCUCGGCGAAGGACUCGGUGAAAGUGCAUUGGCGGUAAAGAUGCCGUCUGUCCAUGCCAGGACGAGAAGACCCCAUGGAGCUUUACUACAGCUUUACAUUGACACGGGUUACAUCAUGUGUAGCAUAGGUGGGAGGCUUUGAAGCAGAUACGCCAGUAUUUGUGGAGCCACAGGUGAAAUACCACCCUUGAUGUAGUCUUUGUCUUACCAUUGCCGUUAUCCGGUAAUGGGACCGUGUAUGGUGGGUAGUUUAACUGGGGCGGUUGCCUCCUAAAGAGUAGCGG